This 468-nucleotide ribosomal RNA is filed under the name uncultured bacterium. RNAcentral's name for it is "partial 16S ribosomal RNA". It matches the Rfam family "Bacterial small subunit ribosomal RNA", at positions 28 to 507 of the family's 1533-position model. The record is from RNAcentral.
GACGAACGCUGGCGGCGUGCUUAACACAUGCAAGUCGAACGGAAAGGCCCUGCUUUUGUGGGGUGCUCGAGUGGCGAACGGGUGAGUAACACGUGAGUAACCUGCCCUUGACUUUGGGAUAACUUCAGGAAACUGGGGCUAAUACCGGAUAGGAGCUCCUGCUGCAUGGUGGGGGUUGGAAAGUUUCGGCGGUUGGGGAUGGACUCGCGGCUUAUCAGCUUGUUGGUGGGGUAGUGGCUUACCAAGGCUUUGACGGGUAGCCGGCCUGAGAGGGUGACCGGCCACAUGGGGCCUGAGAUACGGCCCAGACGCCUACGGGAGGCAGAAGUGGGGAAUAUUGCACAAUGGGCGGAAGCCUGAUGCAGCAACGCCGCGUGCGGGAUGACGGCCUUCGGGUUGUAAACCGCUUUCGCCUGUGACGAAGCGUGAGUGACGGUAAUGGGUAAAGAAGCACCGGCUAACUACGUG